Molecule: unclassified non-coding RNA, 286 nt
Filed under: Hevea brasiliensis (rubber tree)
Lineage: Eukaryota; Viridiplantae; Streptophyta; Magnoliopsida; Malpighiales; Euphorbiaceae
Source: RNAcentral
AACAGCAAUUUUGGGUGCUUAACACAUGAAGUGGACUGACUUUCAAGCAUUUUUUCCACCUCUUUUUUCGUCCAUAUGAGCUUGCCACAUGGACAACAUCUUAUCCUGGCAUAUACCUGGUUAGCUGGUGGAUCAAAUUGAAAUGAAUUUUAAAGAAUAGAAAGCAAAUUUAUAAAAUGUUUAGAAUUGGAUAGCAUUGAAAAUUCAUGAAAAGUUUGAGAAAAAUGAAAUCAUUGGGCUUUAUUUAUUUAGUUUGUAGAAGUGUGAGAAUUGCUUCCUUUUUAAG